This 610-nucleotide ribosomal RNA is filed under the name fungal sp. SFM6. Its description in RNAcentral is "eukaryotic LSU rRNA". It matches the Rfam family "Eukaryotic large subunit ribosomal RNA", at positions 24 to 654 of the family's 3401-position model. Lineage: Eukaryota; Fungi. The record is from RNAcentral.
CGCUAUCCCCAACGGACUAAGCAUAUCAAUAAGCGGAGGAAAAGAAACCAACAGGGAUUGCCCUAGUAACGGCGAGUGAAGCGGCAACAGCUCAAAUUUGAAAUCUGGCCUCGGCCCGAGUUGUAAUUUGCAGAGGAAGCUUUAGGCGCGGCACCUUCUGAGUCCCCUGGAACGGGGCGCCAUAGAGGGUGAGAGCCCCGUAUAGUUGGAUGCCUAGCCUGUGUAAAGCUCCUUCGACGAGUCGAGUAGUUUGGGAAUGCUGCUCAAAAUGGGAGGUAAAUUUCUUCUAAAGCUAAAUACCGGCCAGAGACCGAUAGCGCACAAGUAGAGUGAUCGAAAGAUGAAAAGCACUUUGAAAAGAGGGUUAAAUAGCACGUGAAAUUGUUGAAAGGGAAGCGCUUGUGACCAGACUUGCGCCGGGCUGAUCAUCCGGUGUUCUCACCGGUGCACUCUGCCCGGCUCAGGCCAGCAUCGGUUCUCGCGGGGGGAUAAAGGCCCAGGGAACGUAGCUCCUCCGGGAGUGUUAUAGCCCUGGGUGCAAUGCCCUCGCGGGGACCGAGGUUCGCGCAUCUGCAAGGAUGCUGGCGUAAUGGUCACCAGCGACCCGUCU